Molecule: ribosomal RNA, 371 nt
Filed under: Rhizobium phaseoli
Lineage: Bacteria; Pseudomonadati; Pseudomonadota; Alphaproteobacteria; Hyphomicrobiales; Rhizobiaceae
Description: bacterial LSU rRNA
Rfam family: Bacterial large subunit ribosomal RNA
Source: RNAcentral
GAUUAAGUGUCGUAAGGGCAUUUGGUGGAUGCCUUGGCAUGCACAGGCGAUGAAGGACGUGAUACGCUGCGAAAAGCCGUGGGGAGCUGCGAAUGAGCUUUGAUCCAUGGAUCUCCGAAUGGGGCAACCCACCUUAAAUACCUAGAAAAUCUGUUUUGUUGCUUUGGUUGCGAGGGACUUCCUUCGUAGCGCAAAGCGCGUCGCCGGUCGUCCGGCGCGCCGUCCGCAGGCCUUCGGCCGUGAGGACAAAACAGGUUUCUAGGUAUUGUUAUAAGGUAUCUGCACCUGAAUAAAAUAGGGUGUAAGAAGCGAACGCAGGGAACUGAAACAUCUAAGUACCUGCAGGAAAGGACAUCAACCGAGACUCCGCA